Notolabrus celidotus (New Zealand spotty) is the source of this 197-nucleotide long non-coding RNA. RefSeq lists it as uncharacterized. Lineage: Eukaryota; Metazoa; Chordata; Actinopteri; Labriformes; Labridae. The record is from RefSeq and is a predicted model, not a curated record. The transcript has 3 exons.
GGUGCCAAGUACCACAGUGAAUCUUCAGAAGUCUGGAGUCCAAGUAUCAUCAGGUCAGGGCUGUUUUGGCAUGGUCGAAUGAGAGGGUGGCCUACACAGUACUUGGUGAAGGAUUGCUGUGGAUUUGAUCUGGGGCAACACUACCAGCACACAUUUCUGCACAGAGCAUACUUCACACAAGCCUGGGACUGAUCCUC